GGUUAAUUUGAAAAUUAAUUAAUAAGUUAAUAUUAAAAUAAUUUUUAAUUAAAUUUAGGUGUUUUAGUAUAUUUUAUAGAAAAAAAUUUUAAAUUUUAUAGGGGAUAAGUAUUGUAAAUGAAUUUUGAAAUAAUUGAAAAUUAAUUUUUUAUAAAGUAGAUUUGAUUUAUUGUAUCUUG
RNAcentral lists this ribosomal RNA (179 nucleotides) under Zygaena youngi glaoua. RNAcentral describes it as "partial 16S ribosomal RNA". The record is from RNAcentral. Lineage: Eukaryota; Metazoa; Arthropoda; Insecta; Lepidoptera; Zygaenidae.